GCAGUCGCCGCGGGAAAACCGAGGGUGCGAGCGUUAAUCGGAUUUACUGGGCGUAAAGCGCGCGUAGGUGGUUUGUUAAGUUGGAUGUGAAAUCCCCGGGCUCAACCUGGGAACUGCAUCCAAAACUGGCAAGCUAGAGUAUGGUAGAGGGUGGUGGAAUUUCCUGUGUAGCGGUGAAAUGCGUAGAUAUAGGAAGGAACACCAGUGGCGAAGGCGACCACCUGGACUGAUACUGACACUGAGGUGCGAAAGCGUGGGGAGCAAACAGGAUUAGAGACCCCCGUAGUCCCUGUCUCUUAUAC
Molecule: ribosomal RNA, 302 nt
Filed under: uncultured bacterium
Lineage: Bacteria
Description: partial 16S ribosomal RNA
Rfam family: Bacterial small subunit ribosomal RNA
Source: RNAcentral